Carassius auratus (goldfish) is the source of this 1843-nucleotide long non-coding RNA. The record is from Ensembl. Lineage: Eukaryota; Metazoa; Chordata; Actinopteri; Cypriniformes; Cyprinidae.
UCUUCACAGAUUGGUGUCGUUUUUGGACAGUGUCACUUAAGGGUGACAGCCCAUUCCUUGUGAAGUUCAAUCAAAUUCUUGAAUCAAUUUUGCUUGAAAAUCCUCAUAAGGCUGCGGCUCUCUCGGUUGGUUGUGCAUUUUUUUCUUCCAUACUUUUUCCUUCCACUCAACUUUCUUUUAACAUGCUUGGAUACAGCACUCUGUGAACAGCCAGCUUCUUUGGCAAUGACUGUUUGUGGCUUACCCUCCUCGAGAAGGGUGUGAAUGAUUGUCUUCUGGACAACUGUCAGAUCAGCAGUCUUCCCCAUGAUUGUUUAGCCUAGUGAACCAAACUGAGAGACCAUUUGAAGGCUCAGGGAACCUUUGCAGGUGUUUUGAGUUGAUAAGCUGAAUGGCAUGUCACCAUAUUCUAAUUUGUUGAGAUAGUGAAUUGGUGUUUUUUUUUUUAAAAUGUGAGCCAAAAUCAUCAUAAGUAAAAUAACAAAAGACUUAAACUACUUCAGUCUGUGUGAAUUGAAUUUAUUUAAUACAUGAGUUUCACAAUUUGAACUGAAUUACUGAAAUAAUCGAACUUUUCCACAACAUUUUUAUUGAGAUGCAUAUGAGGGGAAAAUGUUCAAAAGUUUAAAAAAAAACUAUAGUAUGCUUCUAUGUUCACUUAUAUUUGAGGGGGAAAUGUUCAGCCCUUAGUUUAAUAUAAUGUCAAAACAAUGUACACUUUUUUUAUCCCAAUGAUCUUUGUGUUGCAAUUUAUCUCAAUCAUUCCACGUUAAGUAUAAACGUGUGUUGAAGGGCAUUGUUCAACCCACAUUUUUUCUGAAGAGAUUUCUCACAAGAACUGAGGGAAGCAUCCAACUUGGGAGGAAAUGCGCAUCACACAUGUCACCAGUGCGAUAAUGAAUCGCUUGAUUGUGUUGGCAUUGACCCUUGAUAUAGUUGUUGGCAGCGAUGAAGUCAUCUUCGUCACCGCAAGUUGCAGAGAUGACAUAACUUUGCACUGUACUUUCCAUAAAAAUUGUCAGAACUACACCUCUGUUACAUGGUACAAGUUCAACGAUAACAGCAGUGACGGGGCGUCAAAAAUGACAAUUGUCAUAAAAUCUGAAAGUGUCAUCCAGACUGAUAAGCACAACAAUUCUUUAUCACUGGAUAAAAAUGCAUCUUUGGUCUUGAGGAAAGUUACUCCUGCCAAAUCUGGGAUCUACAUGUGUUUAAUAAGAGCCAAAGCUGGAGGAAAGAACUGUCAAAAUCGGCUUAGACUUAAUAUCUCAGAUUGUGUGUCAACAGCUUCACCCAUCAUCUUUAAUUUCUCCACUAAGUUUACUAAUGAAUCAUGGGCAAACAUCAGCAUCCCACUGCCUCGUGUGAAUGAUGAGUCAGUGCUCUUUGUCCUUUGGGGUUGUGUAGGAUUGGCUGUGAGUAAACUUGUCCUCAGUGCUUUUUGCAUAUGGGUAAGUUUUUCUGAAGGUAGCUAAUUCAUCUCAUAUCUUCUGAGCAUUUAUUUUGUAAAGGUAUAGGUUCAGAAAAGCAGUAGAUGUAGCCAAACACAACAAGGAAGUAACAAGUUUAAAUACCAAAGCUCUUAAAGAAAACAACGAGGAAUCAUUUCAAAAAUGGACUCUAGAAGUCUAAUCCUAUAACUGUUAUUGUGAAAACCUAUUUCUGAUCUAUAUGCUUCUGUUCUCAGGUUUUCAAGGAACUCAGUAAACUUAAAAGAAGAAAGACUUAAGGACCAGCCACUGUUUACCUGCCAUAUGGUUUAAUAAUGUAUUAUCAUCAUUUUAAUAAUUUAUCUGUGAAUUUACCUGUGAAUAAUACACUUAAAAUAUCCUUAUUUUAGAAU